AGGAAAUGGCCAACCUAAUACGACUCCUACUACUGCUGGUUUGGCCCCCACAGCCCACCCAACAACACCCACUCAGCAGCUUACAACAAGCAACCUCACCUUCCCUUCCACCACCACAGCUCCUGCGACAACGAAGCAACCGUGUGAUAAAAAAUUUGAGAACGUCCAAGUGACCUACCAGUAUGAUGAUAAUACUGAAAGAUUUCAUGCAA
Myotis lucifugus (little brown bat) is the source of this 212-nucleotide long non-coding RNA. RefSeq lists it as uncharacterized. The record is from RefSeq and is a predicted model, not a curated record. The transcript is spliced from 4 exons. NCBI's taxonomy places the organism in Eukaryota, Metazoa, Chordata, Mammalia, Chiroptera, Vespertilionidae.